CCUACGGGAGGCAGCAGUGAGGAAUAUUGGUCAAUGGACGAGAGUCUGAACCAGCCAAGUAGCGUGCAGGAUGACGGCCCUAUGGGUUGUAAACUGCUUUUAUAAGGGAAUAAAGUGAGUCUCGUGAGACUUUUUUGCAUGUACCUUUAUGAAUAAGGACCGGCUAAUUCCGUGCCAGCA
This 180-nucleotide ribosomal RNA is filed under the name uncultured bacterium. RNAcentral describes it as "partial 16S ribosomal RNA". It matches the Rfam family "Bacterial small subunit ribosomal RNA", at positions 338 to 513 of the family's 1533-position model. The record is from RNAcentral.